UUAAGUUCAGCGGGUAGCCCUACCUGAUCCGAGGUCAACCUGAGAAGAUGGGGUUGCCGCGGCAGCACGCCUGGGUCUCCAGAAGCGAGAUGUGUUACUACGCUUGAAGCCAGAUGGCACCGCCACUGAUUUUGAGGCCCGCUGGGAGACCAGCGCAGGCCCAAUACCAAGCCGAGCUUGAAGGUUGAAAUGACGCUCGA
This 200-nucleotide unclassified non-coding RNA is filed under the name Helotiales sp. Its description in RNAcentral is "partial internal transcribed spacer 2". Lineage: Eukaryota; Fungi; Ascomycota; Leotiomycetes; Helotiales. The record is from RNAcentral.